GAUGGACGCUGGCGGCGUGCCUAAUACAUGCAAGUCGAGCGAACAGACGAGGAGCUUGCUCCUCUGACGUUAGCGGCGGACGGGUGAGUAACACGUGGAUAACCUACCUAUAAGACUGGGAUAACUUCGGGAAACCGGAGCUAAUACCGGAUAAUAUAUUUAAACGCAUUGUUCAAUAGUGAAAGACGGUUUUGCUGUCACUUAUAGAUGGAUCCGCGCCGCAUUAGCUAGUUGGUAAGGUAACGGCUUACCAAGGCGACGAUGCGUAGCCGACCUGAGAGGGUGAUCGGCCACACUGGAACUGAGACACGGUCCAGACUCCUACGGGAGGCAGCAGUAGGGAAUCUUCCGCAAUGGGCGAAAGCCUGACGGAGCAACGCCGCGUGAGUGAUGAAGGUCUUCGGAUCGUAAAACUCUGUUAUUAGGGAAGAACAAAUGUGUAAGUAACUAUGCACGUCUUGACGGUACCUAAUCAGAAAGCCACGGCUAACUACGUG
RNAcentral lists this ribosomal RNA (497 nucleotides) under uncultured bacterium. RNAcentral describes it as "partial 16S ribosomal RNA". It matches the Rfam family "Bacterial small subunit ribosomal RNA", at positions 28 to 507 of the family's 1533-position model. The record is from RNAcentral.